GAUGAAGAACGUAGCGAAAUGCGAUAAGUAAUGUGAAUUGCAGAAUUCAGUGAAUCAUCGAAUCUUUGAACGCACCUUGCGCCUUUUGGUAUUCCGAAAGGCACACCUGUUUGAGCGUCAUGAAUACCUCAAUCUCCAUCUUUUCUUCGGAUUGAUGGGUGACUUGGAUGUUGAGCCCUGCUGGUAUGCUAUAUCAGCUGGCUUUAAACUUAUUAGCCGGCUCUGUACUGGAUCGGUUUGACUCGACGUGAUAAUAUUAUCGUUGAGGAUGCAUGUCUCAUGCAGCCGGAAAGUAUCAAAGCAGCUUCUAGCUUGCCUUUAGUGCACUUUUACAUUUUAGACCUCAGAUCAGGUGGGACUACCCGCUGAACUUAAGCAUAUCAAAUAAGCGGAGGA
This 396-nucleotide unclassified non-coding RNA is filed under the name soil metagenome. RNAcentral describes it as "partial contains 5.8S ribosomal RNA, internal transcribed spacer 2, and large subunit ribosomal RNA". The stretch from base 1 to 120 matches the Rfam family "5.8S ribosomal RNA", at positions 35 to 154 of the family's 154-position model. The record is from RNAcentral.